This 253-nucleotide ribosomal RNA is filed under the name uncultured bacterium. Its description in RNAcentral is "partial 16S ribosomal RNA". It matches the Rfam family "Bacterial small subunit ribosomal RNA", at positions 524 to 776 of the family's 1533-position model. The record is from RNAcentral.
GACGGAGGGGGCUAGCGUUGUUCGGAAUGACUGGGCGUAAAGGGCGCGUAGGCGGUUGAACAAGUCAGGCGUGAAAGCCUUGGGCUUAACCCAAGAAUAGCGUUUGAAACUGUUUGACUUGAGAGCGAGAGAGGAAAGUAGAAUUCCGAGUGUAGAGGUGAAAUUCACAGAUAUUCGGAGGAAUACCAGAGGCGAAGGCGUCUUUCUGGCUCGCUACUGACGCUGAGGCGCGAAAGCGUGGGGAGCAAACAGG